GGGGGUGCACCGGUUUCGACUGGUACGGUUCGGGGUACGGACUGCAGGUGGAGUGCCGAGCUCCUGAUUCGGCAACAAUGUAACUGCCGACAACGACCGUUUCGACUACGCCCUCGCGGCGUAAACGACGUGGACCCGUUCCGCCGCCUUGAGGAACGGAAUCCGCGACGCAACCAAGGCUGGCCAAACCCCAUGUCCGGAUGGGGAGCGGUGAGAAAAAAUCCGGAAUACGGACGGGCCGCGCGCCGCGCAGCCAAGCCCGCCCCGACAAUACAAUAGGCGGCUAAACCUGUAGAGGCCCGUAUUUCGCGUAUCAGGACGCGGGUUCGACUCCCGCCACCUCCAAAA
This 348-nucleotide transfer-messenger RNA is filed under the name Treponema sp. It matches the Rfam family "transfer-messenger RNA". From Rfam's summary of the family: Bacterial tmRNA, also known as 10Sa RNA or SsrA, is named for its dual tRNA and mRNA-like properties. Lineage: Bacteria; Pseudomonadati; Spirochaetota; Spirochaetia; Treponematales; Treponemataceae. The record is from RNAcentral.